CUACGGGUUGCACCAGUGGGGAAUAUUGCACAAUGGAGGAAACUCUGAUGCAGCAACGCCGCGUGGAGGAUGACACUUUUCGGAGCGUAAACUCCUUUUAUGUAGGAAGAAGAUGACGGUACUAUAUGAAUAAGCGCCGGCUAACUCCGUGCCAGCAGCCGCGGUAAUACGGAGGGCGCAAGCGUUACUCGGAAUCACUGGGCGUAAAGAGCGUGUAGGCGGAUUAAAAAGUCAGAAGUGAAAUCCUAUAGCUUAACUAUAGAACUGCUUCUGAAACUCUUAAUCUAGAAUAUGGGAGAGGUAGAUGGAAUUUCUGGUGUAGGGGUAAAAUCCGUAGAGAUCAGAAGGAAUACCGAUUGCGAAGGCGAUCUACUAGAACAUUAUUGACGCUGAGACGCGAAAGCGUGGGGAGCAAACAGGAUUAGAUACCCGAGUAGUC
Molecule: ribosomal RNA, 439 nt
Filed under: uncultured bacterium
Lineage: Bacteria
Description: partial 16S ribosomal RNA
Rfam family: Bacterial small subunit ribosomal RNA
Source: RNAcentral